CGCGGGGUGGAGCAGUUGGCAGCUCGUUGGGCUCAUAACCCAAAGGUCGGAGGUUCGAGUCCUCCCCCCGCUA
RNAcentral lists this transfer RNA (73 nucleotides) under Rikenella microfusus. It matches the Rfam family "tRNA". Rfam says of the family: Transfer RNA (tRNA) molecules are approximately 80 nucleotides in length. Their secondary structure includes four short double-helical elements and three loops (D, anti-codon, and T loops). The record is from Rfam by way of RNAcentral. Lineage: Bacteria; Pseudomonadati; Bacteroidota; Bacteroidia; Bacteroidales; Rikenellaceae. RNAcentral also lists the same sequence under 15 other names.